GCAUGGUCUUAGCUUGCUAAGGCCGAUGGCGACCGGCGCACGGGUGAGUAACACGUAUCCAACCUGCCGUCUACUCUUGGACAGCCUUCUGAAAGGAAGAUUAAUACAAGAUGGCAUCAUGAGUCCGCAUGUUCACAUGAUUAAAGGUAUUCCGGUAGACGAUGGGGAUGCGUUCCAUUAGAUAGUAGGCGGGGUAACGGCCCACCUAGUCUUCGAUGGAUAGGGGUUCUGAGAGGAAGGUCCCCCACAUUGGAACUGAGACACGGUCCAAACUCCUACGGGAGGCAGCAGUGAGGAAUAUUGGUCAAUGGGCGAGAGCCUGAACCAGCCAAGUAGCGUGAAGGAUGACUGCCCUAUGGGUUGUAAACUUCUUUUAUAAAGGAAUAAAGUCGGGUAUGGAUACCCGUUUGCAUGUACUUUAUGAAUAAGGAUCGGCUAACUCCGUGCCAGCAGCCGCGGUAAUACGGAGGAUCCGAGCGUUAUCCGGAUUUAUUGGGUUUAAAGGGAGCGUAGAUGGAUGUUUAAGUCAGUUGUGAAAGUUUGCGGCUCAACCGUAAAAUUGCAGUUGAUACUGGAUAUCUUGAGUGCAGUUGAGGCAGGCGGAAUUCGUGGUGUAGCGGUGAAAUGCUUAGAUAUCACGAAGAACUCCGAUUGCGAAGGCAGCCUGCUAAGCUGCAACUGACAUUGAGGCUCGA
This 695-nucleotide ribosomal RNA is filed under the name uncultured Bacteroidales bacterium. RNAcentral describes it as "bacterial SSU rRNA". It matches the Rfam family "Bacterial small subunit ribosomal RNA", at positions 69 to 756 of the family's 1533-position model. Lineage: Bacteria; Pseudomonadati; Bacteroidota; Bacteroidia; Bacteroidales. The record is from RNAcentral.